Molecule: ribosomal RNA, 369 nt
Filed under: uncultured organism
Description: bacterial SSU rRNA
Rfam family: Bacterial small subunit ribosomal RNA
Source: RNAcentral
CGUAGGGUGCGAGCGUUAAUCGGAAUUACUGGGCGUAAAGCGUGCGCAGGCGGUUAUAUAAGACAGAUGUGAAAUCCCCGGGCUCAACCUGGGAACUGCAUUUGUGACUGUAUAGCUAGAGUACGGCAGAGGGGGUGGAAUUCCGCGUGUAGCAGUGAAAUGCGUAGAUAUGCGGAGGAACACCGAUGGCGAAGGCAAUCCCCUGGGCCUGUACCGACGCUCAUGCACGAAAGCGUGGGGAGCAAACAGGAUUAGAUACCCUGGUAGUCCACGCCCUAAACGAUGUCAACUGGUUGUUGGGUCUUCACUGACUCAGUAACGAAGCUAACGCGUGAAGUUGACCGCCUGGGGAGUACGGCCGCAAGGUUG